CAAUACAAUUGUAUUUAAGUUGAACUGACCAUUUUUUUCAAUGGUUUCCUUUGGUCUAGCCUACAUCCUUGUGAGCGUUGGCUACACUGGUGUCAGAGGUGGGAUGUUGACUUUGAUCCCACUUCUGUGAAAAUGGACAAUAAAGAUUGUAUUCUAUUCUAUUUAUGAGGCUCUGUUCCUGUAUUGGCUGCUUUUGUAGUACGUCCUCGGGCAGAUCUGGAACGCGCCCAAUGGGUGAUUCAAGUAGGCUACAAGCGCGCUCGCUUUUGUGCGCUCCUGAAGGUACAGUAGUCACAUGAUCCAAACGGGAACAAACUCCCUUAGAACUCUUGACGGUGCAUACAUAGUGAUCUAGCUCUGAGCGCAACAUGAUCAUCGACAGAAUUAUCGAGAACGGCCUGAAUCUUGUGCAUCCAGGGACUGUUGUGACGAGCCCCGUGUAUUUGGGGUCUUUUUACCAGGAUAUCUCAAAUGCACCGGAGAUCAACAACUCUCUCUGUGCGCCAAACGAGUUGGAUGGCUGGGGAAAUGUUAUGAGCCCGACUCCGACAACUGCAGACAGUGGCACAAACGAGUGUUCCAUGAGUGAGGUGGCGUCUUUUGGCCGUUUCCAAGGAGUGCGGGUGAAGAAUACAGUGAAAGAACUCAUCAUGCAGAAGCGACUUAGCAACCAAAAUGUACAGCAAAACUCUGAGAGAGAAUACACAGAGUUGACGUCCCUUCUUCAAGGGCAUAAGAGGACUGCGGACUUCAGCUUGAUAACCGAUUCACCUGCUAAAAGACUUGCUACUGCAAAGGCAAUCCUGACUCUGAGCCCUCCAGAGGGAAACACACUGGACAUUGACUUCAUGGAACUGGGAUAUGAGUCUAUGAACUCAGAGACCUCCCCACAGGAGACCCUCACUGACCCCUUCAGCCUCAUCGACUAUCAGUCCCUCUACCCUCAAACCCACAUGCCACAUGCAUUGGGAAACUCCUAUGUCCCCCAGCCUUUCAUCGCCCCGCUAACCCCAAAGGGUGUUUGGCCAUUGGCUCAGUUUGCUGAAGGGGAGCCGAUGUCCUUCUUUCAAUGGCAGAUACGACAGGAAGAAGAGAAGUUGGCAGGGUUCACCCCCGAGAUGCUCACAAGCCAGGAUAAUGAGGGAGACACAUUCUUGCACAUAGCUGUGGCACAGGGCAGAAGGGCUUUAGCUUAUGUGCUGGCCAGCAGGAUGGCUACCUUCGGCAUGCUGGAUAUGAAGGAGCACAAUGGCCAGAGUGCCCUUCAGUUGAGUGUUGCAGCCAAUCAACAUCUGAUAGUGCAGGACCUGUUGGCCCAGGGGGCUCGGAUCAACACCGCUGACUGCUGGGGCCGCUCCCCUCUGCAUGUGUGUGCAGAGAAGGGCCACGCUCUCACUCUCCAGACCAUCCAAAGAGCUCUGAAGGGUAAAGGGCAGGAGCUUAAUGUGGAAGAAGUCAACUAUGAUGGCCUAACUCCUCUUCAGACAGCGGUCCGGUCUCACAAUGCGGUUGUCCAGGAGAUGGGCUGUAUGGCGGCGGCCCCCCAGUCCCCUGGGGUGGUGGAGUUGAUGCAGAGAAGGAAGCUACUGGGGCAGUGUGUCAACACACUGCUGCUCAUGGGAGCCUCCUGUGCAACUAAGGAUCAUAAAAGUGGCUGCACCUCCCUGCACAUGGCUUCUCAGGAGGCCAAUGUGGAGCUUUUACGCAUCUUCCUCGACCAGCCAGACUCUCUGUCUAUUGUCAAUGUCAAGGUGAGAUACUGCUACAGUACCUAAUGUCAAGGUGAGAUACUGCUACAGUACCUAAUGUCAAGGUGAGAUACUGCUACAGUACCUAAUGCCAAGGUGAGAUACUGCUACAGUACCUAAUGCCAAGGUGAGAUACUGCUACAGUACCUAAUGCCAAGGUGAGAUACUGCUACAGUACCUAAUGCCAAGGUGAGAUACUGCUACAGUACCUAAUGCCAAGGUGAGAUACUGCUACAGUACCUAAUGUCAAGGUGAGAUCUCGCCUCUCUGGAAAACAAACAUACAUGAUAACCAAUCAGUGUGCUGGCUCAAAUUCUGAGCUGACAAACAGUGUUCCCAUUGUUCAUAGUUUUUUGGUUAUCAGGAGGUAAGUUAACUAAACCCUCUAACAUGAGUUCUGUCUCCACCAGGCAUUCAGUGGAAACACAGCGCUGCACUUUGCCAGUUCUGUGCAUGGUCGCGUGACUCAGGUGGAUGCUGUGAAGCUCCUGAUGAGGAGAGGGGCCGACCCCAGCUCCAAGAACCUGGAGAAUGAGCAGCCUGCCCAGCUGGUGGCUGAAGGGCCCGUCGGAGACCAGGUGAAUAAUGCCCCAAAAUGGUUCUGUGGCUGUCCCCAUAGGAGAACCCUUUUGGGUUCCAUGUAGAACCUUCUGUAGAAAGGGCUCUACAUGGAACCCAAAAGGGUUCUACCUGGAACCAAAAAGGGUUCUUCAAAUGGUUCUCCUAUGGGGACAGCCGAAGAACCUUUUUAGGUUCUAGAUAGAAAAAAAAGGUGCUAAGAGUGUAAGCACAUCCAGGAACUUGCAGGUGCAGGGUACAAAAAGUACAGCAUGGUUCUACAUGAUAAAAAAAGAAAAUGAUGCCAUUGCCUGGAGAAAAACAUCUAAGAUCUCAGCACACGGCUGAACCCUCCCUCUGUGGGAGCAUUUAAUAGUGUUCUUGUGUCUAUCUUUCAGGUGAAUAUUCCCAUGUCCUUGUUUUAUUAUCAUGUAAUCAUUCUUUAACCAGGCAAGUCGAUUGAGAACCUUUUAUCAAUUACUAUUAAGGCCUGGUUAAGAUGCAAACACAGAGACGCAGUAAAAACAGAACAUGAAGAAUACACAAGUUCAAGUGUGGCAGACAGACAUUCAAAACACACACACACUUCAACAAGAUGGGACUGUAUUGCAAUAAUGUGCCUUUGGUUGUUUCUCUUAGGUGCGGCGUAUCCUGAAGGGGAAAGGCUACCAGGCCCGGUCUGCUGCCCAGUAGGAUGCAGGAUGUGAUCUCCUGUCUAGAAACACUGUCAGUCAGACAGUCCAGUCUAUGUAGAAAUUAUUUGCCAUCGUAUGUAUGGCAGAUGUCAGUUGUUUCAAUGAAACAGUGAAUGUUGUUCGCUACAGUGUAGUGUAUUUUGAGUAACCAUGUGAUCUUCUCCCUUAAAGGGGCAAUCUGCAGUUGUUACAUCCAUUUUUGGACUUGUAAAUGAUUCAUAUGUACCCAUUGUUUCUUGGAGAAUAUAACUUAUAAAUUCAUCAUGAGCUUAGUUCAACUGUCGUUCCCCAUCAGAACCCAAAAUAUAUCAUCUUGUUUUACUCCAAUGUUUGUAAACAAAGUACAUGGAAACCAACACUAUGAAAAGUAGCUUCCAAAUAUGGUUCAAACUAUAAUGUUGAUAUCAUGGAUGGUUACUCCUUAGCCGUGUCUAUGAAUUUGAGUGUUAACGUUUCUAGCCCCAUCCCUCAGCUUUUUACUGAAACGGGCAGGGAAUACGCUUUGUUCAUGUUUCAACUGCUGAUUACCGCUUUAAGGAAUGACGCCUGAAGGGGUUUUCACCACUAAACCACUUUGGGUUGAGUCACAGGUUGACUCACCUGUAAUGCCGGUGUGAAACACCUUGAGCUGGAAUGUGCAUUGUAGCUAGGGCUCGACCACAUAGUAACAGUGUAAUGUAGCUAGGGGUCGACCACAUAGUAACAGUGUAAUGUAGCUAGGGCUCGACCACAUAGUAACAGUGUAAUGUAGCUAGGGGUUGACCACAUAGUAACAGUGUAAUGUAGCUAGGGGUUGACCACAUAGUAACAGUGUAAUGUAGCUAGGGGUUGACCACAUAGUAACAGUGUAAUGUAGCUAGGGGUUGACCACAUACCAGUAACCUGAAGAGACGGGAGCUCAGAUUUGUUGAUGUUCUGGUACGGUGGCAGCAUGGGGGUCUUGCCUUAUUUUAUGUGUAUUUUCAUUUACUUUAUAAAUAAAUGAAAAUAAAUCAUGA
Molecule: non-coding RNA, 3999 nt
Organism: Salmo salar (Atlantic salmon)
Lineage: Eukaryota; Metazoa; Chordata; Actinopteri; Salmoniformes; Salmonidae
Source: RefSeq, a predicted model, not a curated record